AAGGAUCAUUAUCGAUUUUCCCAGCUUGUGCGGGGAGAAACGAAUAAAACCUCGGGCUUCUAUGCCUUGGGACCUUGGCCUGUCUGCCAUUGUCCACCAGGUCGGUCCUUGAGUGCUUGUGGCUAUUUGGCUGCUUGGGCUCGGCCGACCGCCCAGUCGGAGGUGCUGUGCGCCGUUGUCGAAUACCAUUCGAAAGGCGGUAAUUCAGCAUUUAAAGAGCCUCGCCUCUGGCUCGGGUUCUGUGCUCCCCCUUGUUGGGCUUGUGGAAAACGGUACAGACAACAAACCUUAACUGGCCUUAGAGCCGGAAACCCCAAAUACAACACUAUACAGUGGAUCAUUUGGCUCGGGGGUCGAUGAAGAACGGAGCUAACUCCGUGACGCAAUGUGAACUGCAGGACACAUGAACAUCGACAUUUUGAACGCAUAUUGCGGACAUGUGCUUGUUGCAUGUCCAUGUUUGGGUCAGGGUCGGUUGAACAUCCAUCAGAACGCUUGCUGUGUUCUGCAAUGGGCUGUCCUGCCUCCCCCACCGGGGGAAGCGGGUAGCCUCAAGUUGACUUGUGCAGUGCUCUGCCGAUUGACUCUUGGGUCGUAAAAAGCCUGGGUCGCCUGCAGAUAAGCCUUCACAGGGGAUCGGCUGUUAGCUGAGGCUUCAGUCGUGACAAACU
This 671-nucleotide unclassified non-coding RNA is filed under the name Sinodiaptomus valkanovi. RNAcentral describes it as "partial contains 18S rRNA, ITS1, 5.8S rRNA and ITS2". The stretch from base 322 to 474 matches the Rfam family "5.8S ribosomal RNA". Lineage: Eukaryota; Metazoa; Arthropoda; Copepoda; Calanoida; Diaptomidae. The record is from RNAcentral.